GGUGCUGGUUAGCAAGCAAUAAUACCGAGGUUUGCUCUGUGUUAGCUCAACUCUAUCCGGUGUUGGUUGUCUUUAUGUGAAGCAACAGAGGAUUUAAUGGAUGUAUGCAAUAGAAUGCAGCAAGAACCAGAGAUUUCCUCGAGAUUAUAGUUGAUGCUGGCCCAGAUACCCAACUCUCAGAUAAUGAGAUCGCAACUCUCUUGUCGAUCUCAGGUGAUGCCGCGAUGGUGCCAUUUGCACGAACCAGAAAUUUCUGAUUCACCUUAAAUUGUUACAUUGCAUCCAGAAACUGAUCUGUAGAUUUCCUUUCUUAGAGCUUGAUC
Helianthus annuus (common sunflower) is the source of this 323-nucleotide long non-coding RNA. RefSeq lists it as uncharacterized. The record is from RefSeq and is a predicted model, not a curated record. NCBI's taxonomy places the organism in Eukaryota, Viridiplantae, Streptophyta, Magnoliopsida, Asterales, Asteraceae. The transcript has 3 exons.